GCCCUUUAUACAUGGAUUAAUAGUGUUUUACUGUGUGAUCUCGAGGCCAUUUUGAGAGAAAACCCCUGUGGCCCAUGAGUCAUCCCUCACGAACCCCUCCUGACAAGGGCAAGUCACUGCUGACCGGGAGUACCCUUUCAUACUCUUUUCCUUUGACAUGUUCUCGCCCAGUCUCAGCUUGUAAAAUUAGAGCUGUACGUCGCUGUCACAAAUGGGCAACCUGCUGACAACUGCUGCACGCGGCGCCGGAUCGGGACCUCCGCGGGAGAGAAGACAGCCGACCAGCCAGGGAAAGAGUGCAGGCGCCUCUCCCGGCGACGCCUCCCCCAGUUUGUUUAAAGCUCCACGAGCCGAUCUCGAGCAGUGGGGAAUUGAAAAGGAAGCCAAGAGAGCGGAGUGGGAAGAAGGGCAAAGGAGGAAGACGAGGGAAACGGCGAGCUUUUGUCUUUUUAGAAAGAGAGAAACGUGUCACGUUUGAGAGCGAGCAGACUCCACAAAGACAAAUCGCCUCACAAAAAGGCUUUGUGUCAUUUCUAAAUAAAGCUUUCCAUUUGAGGUAUCUAACGUCUUGCUGUUCGUGUGUCCCACAGCAAUCAACAAAAUUGUAGUAGUGGAGUUUAAGGAUUUGCAAAGCUGCUACUAAUACUUCUGCUCUGAUUAUUUUUUAGAUAAAUAAAUAAAAAAAAAACUUAAUGGCAAGAAAGAUGUAGACUCCAAAAAUACUAUCCAAAUAAAAAUCAUUUAAAUUAAGAAAACCAGAAGAAAACUAUGGUGCCCGAAAGCAGGGGGCCCCAACAACCGAGAUAUAUGGAAGAUAUAAUUAAUUAUACAUGUUUUUUUUCCGUUUUUUUCUGAGUCUUGACGAUCUUUUAUUUUGAAAAUCUUGUGGUUUUGAAGAGAACAGGAUUCUCUCGGUUACGUUUCAGUCACUUGAGCUCUAAAAGUAGUCCAGCGGUUGCAACACGAGAAGAGCAGUAUGUGAAACGUUUCUUUAGAAAUGGAUAAGCGAUGAGUGCAGGGACAGAAGAACAGGCUACAGCUUAAAGAAAAAACAAACAAACCAAAAAAAAA
Long non-coding RNA from Oryzias melastigma (Indian medaka), 1071 nucleotides. RefSeq lists it as uncharacterized. Lineage: Eukaryota; Metazoa; Chordata; Actinopteri; Beloniformes; Adrianichthyidae. The transcript is spliced from 3 exons. The record is from RefSeq and is a predicted model, not a curated record.